Molecule: non-coding RNA, 204 nt
Filed under: Pan troglodytes (chimpanzee)
Lineage: Eukaryota; Metazoa; Chordata; Mammalia; Primates; Hominidae
Also listed under: 1 other name
Source: RNAcentral
CUCACUCCCCCUCCACCUUGCUGACCACCCUCAUGUUCUUUAAUACCAAGUACUUCCUAUUGAAGACAGUGGACCAGCACAUGAAGCUGGCCUUCUCCAAGGUCUUGCGACAGACAAAGAAGAACCCCUCUAAUCCCAAGGAUAAAAGCACGAGUAUCCGGUACUUGAAGGCCCUUGGAAUACACCAGACUGGCCAGAAAGGUA